GGAGCGCUCGGGGUCCCCGGGCGGCGGCGGCGGCGCAGAGGAGGAGGCAGGCGGCGGCCCCGGUGGCUCCCCCCCGGACGGUGCGCGGCCCGGCCCGUCUCGCGAACUCGCGGUGGUCGCGCGGCCCCGCACGGCUCCCACCCCGGGCCCCUCCGCCGCCGCCAUGGCUCGGCCGCUGGUGCCCAGCUCGCAGAAGGCGCUGCUGCUGGAGCUCAAGGGGCUGCAGGAAGAGCCUGUCGAGGGCUUCCGCGUGACACUGGUGGACGAAGGCGAUCUAUACAACUGGGAGGUGGCCAUCUUCGGGCCCCCCAACACCUACUACGAGGGCGGCUACUUCAAGGCGCGCCUCAAGUUCCCCAUCGACUACCCGUACUCUCCACCGGCCUUUCGGUUCCUGACCAAGAUGUGGCACCCUAACAUCUACGAGACGGGGGACGUGUGUAUCUCCAUCCUCCACCCACCGGUGGACGACCCCCAGAGCGGGGAGCUGCCCUCAGAGAGGUGGAACCCCACGCAGAAUGUCAGGUAAGCCAGCCCAGAACAUCAGGUAGGCCAGGCUCCCUCCCGUGUCCACCCAGAACAUCAGGUAGGCUGGGCUCCCCUGCAGGCCGUGGCGCCGAGGCCUGAUUCGGGACCUGCCAGCUGGCGGUCCUGGGCCUCACUAUACCUGCACGGUGGGUGCUUUCAUGGGGCCUGCAGCACUGUGGUGUCGGUGCAGACUCCCACCAGGACCCCAGGCCGGCCCCACCGUCUGGAACCACCUAGAGGUGUCCCACCCUCCUUAGUCCUGGGGCCUUCUCCUUCCCCAGCCGUCUCUGGGUUGGUCGCCUCGUGCCACGUGUGCUGCCCAGGCCUCGUCUCCAGGUACAGGCACUGGGCCGUG
This 883-nucleotide small RNA is filed under the name Pongo abelii (Sumatran orangutan). Its description in RNAcentral is "retained intron". The record is from RNAcentral. Lineage: Eukaryota; Metazoa; Chordata; Mammalia; Primates; Hominidae.